GACGAACGCUGGCGGCGUGCUUAACACAUGCAAGUCGUACGGUAAGGCCCUUUCGGGGGUCCACGAGUGGCGCACGGGUGCGUAACACGUGAGUAACCUGCCCACAACUUUGGGAUAACGCUAGGAAACUGGUGCUAAUACUGGAUAUGUGCUCCUGCUGCAUGGUGGGGGUUGGAAAGCUCCGGCGGUUGUGGAUGGACUCGCGGCCUAUCAGCUUGUUGGUGGGGUAGUGGCCUACCAAGGCGGCGACGGGUAGCCGGCCUGAGAGGGUGACCGGCCACAUUGGGACUGAGAUACGGCCCAGACUCCUACGGGAGGCAGCAGUGGGGAAUAUUGCACAAUGGGCGCAAGCCUGAUGCAGCAACGCCGCGUGCGGGAUGACGGCCUUCGGGUUGUAAACCGCUUUCAGCAGGGACGAAGCUUUUUGUGACGGUACCUGCAGAAGAAGCACCGGCUAACUACGUG
RNAcentral lists this ribosomal RNA (465 nucleotides) under uncultured bacterium. RNAcentral describes it as "partial 16S ribosomal RNA". It matches the Rfam family "Bacterial small subunit ribosomal RNA", at positions 28 to 507 of the family's 1533-position model. The record is from RNAcentral.